Long non-coding RNA from Acanthopagrus latus (yellowfin seabream), 486 nucleotides. RefSeq lists it as uncharacterized. The transcript has 3 exons. Lineage: Eukaryota; Metazoa; Chordata; Actinopteri; Spariformes; Sparidae. The record is from RefSeq and is a predicted model, not a curated record.
CCUUUUGUAUUUUGGCUCAUCUGUGACGUGGAGCAGCAGUGGGUGUAAAGGAUGACGUCACAGCUGUCGUCCAAGUUAUUGCAAUUUUGCAAAAGUGUUGUGAAAUUUAGGAUUAUGGAUUAUAGAUUCCAUGAUAGUGGAAUCAGACCCAAAGUACCGCAUGCAAGAAGAACAACCACAGCAGCCUACAAGAGCAAAGAGCAUGCAUCUUGUGAUGUGGCUCCAAUCCAGGUGGAAGCAUUUCCUCUGCCGUGAUUGAUGGAGCAGGAAAUGUCACCAACACUUGACACUCCUGUGGUUUGUUCCUGAGAUCAUUCACUCUGAAAUUCACAGCUCCCACUCCUUCAUCAGCCCUCCAUCGCACCAGUAGAGGUAGAAAUGUGUUCGCUUCAGGAUCAAUGCAGCAAGAGUUUUAGUUCAGCAGCCAGUGAGAGUGAAAGACAGUGACGGCACCGACCAGGAGGAAAGUUUCAUCACUAAUAUCAA